This is a long non-coding RNA of Cyprinus carpio (common carp), 930 nucleotides long. RefSeq lists it as uncharacterized. Lineage: Eukaryota; Metazoa; Chordata; Actinopteri; Cypriniformes; Cyprinidae. The transcript has 2 exons. The record is from RefSeq and is a predicted model, not a curated record.
UCACCCAUAAGAGGAUGGACCCGUUCCUGUAGAAUAAAAAGCUUCUCCCGAACACAUAUAUGUUGAGAGUACCUAUCUCUUAUUAUAAUUUAUUGACUUCAAAAAAAUGCUGAGUACACGGAAGAAUCUAGAAACCAAUGGACCAGACCGGCUCCUUGAUAAAUGCUUAAAGAACUUCCACUACUGACAAAAAGCAGAGCAGUUCCUGGAAGGAAAAUGAGCACCUCGGUUCCGGCAGUGCUGAGAUGCAGAGAUGCAGUAUCUUUGGAUUCCUCAGCAGGAGAGACAGUGUGUUUGGCUGCCCUCCAAACGCUUCAUCCUGACUGAGGUCAGCUUACUGCACUGAGAGUCAGUAGUGAGAGGAGGAAAUUAGAUAAAUGAAGAGCUCGUCUACAUUUCCUCUGUCCAAACACCUGAGUCAGCAUUGUGAGAGUAAGAGGAGCAAAAAAAAAAAAAAAAUUUUGGAUAUGGAUACACAUGUAGCAGUGUGUACAUUUCUGAAAAAACAAAUAAAAAUAACCAAAGGCAGUAUGUUGGGUUUAAUUACUUCCUCUUAUAUUAUGCAUAUGCUUAUCACUGAUCAUUUAUAUUGUUAAAUUAUACUUAAGCUUUUAUUCAAAGUAAAAUAAUUCAACUGCCAUGCCAUAUCCAUUUGGGUCCUCUGAAAAUUUAGUCAGUUUUGCUUUUUUCUCUUUAGCUUGCAGCGACCUCUAAUGGUUACAAUUGUAAACGAUUUAGACUCUGACACUCAUAUUAUUAGUAUGUUUAACUUUGAUUUGUUUAACAAAAUAGUUUUAUUCAUCUGUUUCAUAUAUAUUUAUAAAACACUAAAUUCAUCGGGGUUUGUCUCGUUUUUUUCUCUGAUUAAAAACUGACAAAGCUGAAUAUAAGUACAUUCAAAUUUUUGCUGAAAUAAAAUGGUGUUAACGA